Molecule: ribosomal RNA, 500 nt
Filed under: Escherichia sp.
Lineage: Bacteria; Pseudomonadati; Pseudomonadota; Gammaproteobacteria; Enterobacterales; Enterobacteriaceae
Description: bacterial SSU rRNA
Rfam family: Bacterial small subunit ribosomal RNA
Source: RNAcentral
GGUGGGGUAACGGCUCACCUAGGCGACGAUCCCUAGCUGGUCUGAGAGGAUGACCAGCCACACUGGAACUGAGACACGGUCCAGACUCCUACGGGAGGCAGCAGUGGGGAAUAUUGCACAAUGGGCGCAAGCCUGAUGCAGCCAUGCCGCGUGUAUGAAGAAGGCCUUCGGGUUGUAAAGUACUUUCAGCGGGGAGGAAGGGAGUAAAGUUAAUACCUUUGCUCAUUGACGUUACCCGCAGAAGAAGCACCGGCUAACUCCGUGCCAGCAGCCGCGGUAAUACGGAGGGUGCAAGCGUUAAUCGGAAUUACUGGGCGUAAAGCGCACGCAGGCGGUUUGUUAAGUCAGAUGUGAAAUCCCCGGGCUCAACCUGGGAACUGCAUCUGAUACUGGCAAGCUUGAGUCUCGUAGAGGGGGGUAGAAUUCCAGGUGUAGCGGUGAAAUGCGUAGAGAUCUGGAGGAAUACCGGUGGCGAAGGCGGCCCCCUGACGAAGACUACG